AUUGAACGCUGGCGGCAGGCCUAACACAUGCAAGUCGAACGGUAACAGGAAGAAGCUUGCUUCUUUGCUGACGAGUGGCGGACGGGUGAGUAAUGUCUGGGAAACUGCCUGAUGGAGGGGGAUAACUACUGGAAACGGUAGCUAAUACCGCAUAACUUCGCAAGACCAAAGAGGGGGACCUUCGGGCCUCUUGCCAUCGGAUGUGCCCAGAUGGGAUUAGCUAGUAGGUGGGGUAACGUCUCACCUAGGCGACGAUCCCUAGCUGGUCUGAGAGGAUGACCAGCCACACUGGAACUGAGACACGGUACAGACUCCUACGGGAGGCAGCAGUGGGGAAUAUUGCACAAUGGGCGCAAGCCUGAUGCAGCCAUGCCGCGUGUAUGAAGAAGGCCUUCGGGUUGUAAAGUACUUUCAGCGGGGAGGAAGGGAGUAAAGUUAAUACCUUUGCUCAUUGACGUUACCCGCAGAAGAAGCACCGGCUAACUCCGUG
This 490-nucleotide ribosomal RNA is filed under the name uncultured bacterium. Its description in RNAcentral is "partial 16S ribosomal RNA". It matches the Rfam family "Bacterial small subunit ribosomal RNA", at positions 30 to 507 of the family's 1533-position model. The record is from RNAcentral.